RNAcentral lists this non-coding RNA (210 nucleotides) under Trypanosoma congolense IL3000. RNAcentral describes it as "Eukaryotic small subunit ribosomal RNA". It matches the Rfam family "Eukaryotic small subunit ribosomal RNA", at positions 1608 to 1831 of the family's 1831-position model. Lineage: Eukaryota; Euglenozoa; Kinetoplastea; Trypanosomatida; Trypanosomatidae. The record is from Rfam by way of RNAcentral.
GAAAUUUUUGUAGGCGCAGUUCACAAAACUGGCCGGAUACGUUCCCGCCCAUUUGUCACACACCGCCCGUUGUUGUUUCCGAAGAUGUGCCAAUACAGUGAUCGGACCGUCGCGUGUCUCACGUGACCGAAAGUUCCACCGAUAUUGCUCAAUAGAGGAAGCAAAAGUCGUAACAAGGUAGCUGUAGGUGAACCUGCAGCUGGAUCAUUU